This 4007-nucleotide ribosomal RNA is filed under the name Triticum aestivum (bread wheat). Its description in RNAcentral is "partial small subunit ribosomal RNA". The record is from RNAcentral. Lineage: Eukaryota; Viridiplantae; Streptophyta; Magnoliopsida; Poales; Poaceae.
UGGCUUGCUUCUGGAUCCCUGCCAUUCGGUCUCGCGGUCGGCUUUGGAAUCCCAGUAGAUUCGAUUUUGGCGGCAGCGCUUUCCGUGCCGCUGGUUGGAUGUUGGGACGAACCAGCCUGAAUUGGGGCCUGGGGAAUCUGAGCUGCCGACUGCCUCUGCCCUUUCGAAUCUUUUUCAGCAACCUGACGGACAGUGUGGUGUUAGACUAUUCUUGCGAUUGCUUUGAUUCCGAAUUUCCGAGUAAGUAGGUUUUCUCAGCUUUGUCUGCGUGGCAGCUGUGAAUGGGAGCUCCUGAGCUUGAUUCAAGCUCGCCCGCAUGCCGCACACGAGCUUGGGCAUUGUCCUGUUCUCGUUGCAGUAAAUUCCUCCGAAGUACUCCCUCCGUUCCAAAAUAGAUGACCCAAUUUGUAUAAAAUUGGGUCAUCUAUUUUGGAACAGAGGGAGUAGAUAGCUGGAACAAUAUUUCUCAUGUAAAUGUAUAGUCCAACUCGUCGACCAGCAUUUUGUCCUCUGUUUUGGCAUUACUGUAACCAUGAGUCUGACAGACUCAGGUUCAUAGUUGAGGACAGGAUACGAAACGGGGGUAGAUGCAGAUUUCGGAUAAUUGUGCAGAAAUAUUGUUAGCUUGUACAAGGAGAUAAGAUUGACAACAAACUAGCCAUAUCAUGUGAUGCUACUAUUUUCACUGGGAUUUUCUUCCCUUUUCUAUUUGAAAUGUUGCAUUAUCAUAUCUCAUCGUAGAAAUAUGCCACAACUAGACAAACUAAGCAUCGAACCUAUACACAAUAUUUCGUUUCCAGUUAGCAUGUAGAUUAUUUAAUUUACCAUGUUGUACACAAAUGAAAACCAUAUAGGUAAGAACCUAAUAUUCCAACUACAACUAGCCUUAUACAUAUUGAUUGUCAUACUUUUGCUGUGGGCCUACUCAAAAUUGAUGCUUGUGGAAGAUGGAACAACUGGCUGUGAACUAAUAAAUUUAGAAAGCAUUUCCUCACUUUUAUUUAUGCAGCUCAAUCAGUAGGAUAACCAUGGUGAUUUGCGAUUGCCUAUGGCUGGGUAUGAUCUGAUAGUAAGUUGGCAUAGCUUUGGUCCCUUCAUAACAUUCAUAGUUUGGUUAAUGUGUCUAAUGACGAUCAGAGGGAAGGAAGAUGAGCGUGUGCAACAUGAUUUGUUAUGAUUGUACAGGAAGGCCCCCCACCAUAGGAAGUUGCCAAUCAAUGUGGAAUUUUUAGCUCUUCUCCGUUUUUCUUGUUUAAUACAGUGAAAUUUACCACCACUAUCAUUAAUGUGAGUCCUCCAUUCACACCUCUGUUCUUUACCAAACCUGGUCAAAUACAAAGAACCAGACCCUUGCUUGAAGUGGUCUGCUUUCUUACUUGUUGUCCCCUGGAGAAUUUUCCUUGUUUUAUUCCCAGAAAUCUAUUAUAGGAAGUAAGCCACCAGCUGGAAGCCUGCAUCUCAUGCUAAACCAAAAGAUGAUAUUGGUUCGAAGUUUAUGAUUCAUGGUGUCGGGUCGAGUUUCCUUAGCCCGGAUUAUUCGGUGACUAGUUAUAACUAAUGGCCCCAAGUCGCCUCAACUAGUCAGGGGGAUUUACAGAGAGGGUGAGAGGAUGUUGAGGGUAAAGUUGUUGUUGUGGAGGACCUUGAAUGUGAUGUCAAGGUGGCGGUAGGUUCUGAGGCAAGGUCCUGGUGGCUGAAGCUGGGGUACGGUAGAUUGCGGUUGAUAAGGGAGGACAUAUUUGGCCCAUGAAGGCCCAUUUGAAAACCCUAGCUUUCUUGAUGUAUCUAACCGUCCAUACUUAUCCGAGCCAUCUGUACCAUCCAUCAAGAAUAGAAGAGUGGUAACUGCCCAGCAGUGCGUGGCCAGCACCAUACAUAGCCGCCGCCAGUGCAGAUCCCUUCUCUCUUCGCAUACCUUCUUCCCUCUUACAACAACUAGCGGCGGGGUUGAUCAAUAGCUGGCGGUGGCACGGUGGUUGAUUCCUCAUGGAAGACCUCGACAACUGCCCAAACCAGCACGCAAGCGUCUAGUGGGGGGUGAGUUGCACAACUUGCCCUGCUAGUUGAGUCACUUUUGCAAGGCUUCAUCGCUGGUCCGGCAAGGCGAUUAGCCCGUGUCUAAUCGGUGAUUAGUCGGCAACUCAAAAACCUUGUAUUGAUUUCAUACCACACUGUUGUUUUCAUGUCUAGAUUUAUUAGAGGUCCACAAAUACGAGGGCCAUCUGAGGCAGUCCUAGUCUUUGGCGUGUUGCAAGUUUUAGUCAUGCCUUGUUUUUUUGUUCAGUAUUGAUAUAUUGUUUCUUUCAUUCAGUACUUUCUUUGUCUAAUAUUUUUUGUAAUUUUAUAGAACCUUAUGUUUCCUUUUAGAUAUAAGCUAGUAACUUGCUUGUAGGUGUAAACAUGGAAACAAUCAUGCUUUAUCCUUGGUAUCAAUCUUCCUUCUUUAGUGCUUGGCAAUUUAGGUCUCAGAAUGCUAAUUGUAUGUUCUAAAAUACCAAGCCGGUCCUGGAAGUUGCACACAACCUCAUUUGUUUUCUAGAUUGGUUAUCAUGUUUUUCCUACUCUCCUUAUUGUGUCAUCUUGUUCACAGUAUUUUCUCCAGUUGCCAGCUGCUUCUUCCUCCAGUACGAGUAGUAGCUGUAGCAGCAGUCAUCUCUUCACAGGAAAAAAGCCCAGCAAGGUGUGAUUAGUCUGCACAGUAUAGCUUCCAACUCCCCACUUCUCAGAGCAGGUUUGCCAUGUCUUCCCCAUCGCUUGUGUCGGUGAGCCGUCGGGAUCCGCCUCUGCCAUCGUCGCCACCUCGGCGAGAGGAUAUCAUACCCUCAAGAUCGACGGUUACUGGUGCGCCAAGGCGACCCCCACGGGUGAGUUCCUCCAAUCCAGUCAAUUCUUCGUCGGCGGCCAUUGCUGGCGCAUCUACUAUUUCCCCAAUGGCAAGGACUCCGAAACAGCAGAUUAUAUUUCCUUUUACCUCAAGCUCGAUGAAAUUGCAACCGAGGAUGUGAAGACGAUGUUCACUAUUAAUUUCGCCAAGGUGGCUGAGAAGCGACUGUCAUGGCCGUGGGCAUCCACAACUAGAUAUGUUUUUGGUGGUAAGCAAAUGUGGGGCUAUCCAAAGUUCAUCAAGAGGGAGGAUUUGGAGAAGUCGGAGCAUCUCAAGGACGAUUCUUUCACAAUCAGGUGUGACAUUGCCGUCAUCCAUGACAUCUGCACCAAACAGACCAGCGCUCCAAAGUUUGUCUUUGUGCCCCCACCCGAGCUGAAUCAGCACCUCGGUGAUCUCCUCAAGACUGAGAAGGGCGCUGACGUUGUGUUUGAGGUAGGCGGUGAGAGGAUUGCUGCACACCGGUGUGUGCCCGCGUCGCGAUCUCCAGUCUUCAGCGCGGAGCUCUUUGGCGUGAUGAAGGAGGGCGACACAGCCAGUGUCAUACACAUAGAUGACUUGGAGGCACAGGUUUUCAAGGAGUUGCUCUACUUCGCCUACACUGACUCAUUGCGAGAGGCAAAAGAAGAAGAGGAAGAUAUCAUGUGUCAGCAUCUGCUCGUUGCGGCGGACAGGUAUAACAUGGAGAGGCUAAAGCUUAUUUGUGAGGAAAAAUUAUGCAAGUACAUUGAUGCAGGCUCUGUUCCGACCAUUCUAGCACUUGCUGAGCAGUACCACUACAAUGGGUUGAAGAAGGCAUGCUUUGAUUUUCUCAGCUGCCCGGCACAUCGGAGGGCAGUCGUGGCCACUGAGGGCUUCCAAAAUUUGUGUAAGAGCUUCCCUUCUCUUGUGAUGGAGCUGAUUGCCAUGCCCUCGCCACCUUAGCUGAGUGUUGCCCCGUAUUUUAGCAAUGGUAGUUCAUGGUUUCUAGAUGGUUGAUAUCAACUAGAUCUCUUGUUUACCAAUGUGUACUGGUAUGUGGACUUUGUGACUUAUGUUAUCAGGCAGUUAUCUUGUCAUGUGACUGUAUUAAGUAAUCAUGAAUGACUCUGUUAUCAGGUUUGCUUUAUGGAUUCAAACCCCC